This 76-nucleotide transfer RNA is filed under the name Chlorobium chlorochromatii CaD3. RNAcentral's name for it is "tRNA-Met". The record is from RNAcentral. Lineage: Bacteria; Pseudomonadati; Chlorobiota; Chlorobiia; Chlorobiales; Chlorobiaceae.
ACGUAAGCAUGGUAUUCCUUUUGCGGGCUUUAGCCCCGAUGCUGCUGAAAUGAUGCUACGCUAUCCAUGGCCUGGC